GGCCUAACACAUGCAAGUCGAACGGGGUAGCAAUACCUAGUGGCAGACGGGUGAGUAACGCGUAGAUAAUGUGCCCUCUUGCGGGGGAUACCGUUUCGAAAGGAACGUUAAUACCGCAUAACACGGCCUGGAGGCAUCUUCGGGUCGUCAAAUUUCCGGAGCGAGAGGAGCAGUCUGCGUUCUAUCAGUUAGUUGGUGGGGUAAUGGCCUACCAAGACUACGACGGAUAACUGGUCUGAGAGGAUGAUCAGUCACACUGGAACUGAGACACGGUCCAGACUCCUACGGGAGGCAGCAGUGAGGAAUAUUGCGCAAUGGGCGAAAGCCUGACGCAGCGACGCCGCGUGGAGGAUGAAGGCCUUCGGGUUGUAAACUCCUGUCAGUGGGGAAGAGAAUGGACGGUACCCACUGAGGAAGCUUCGGCUAACUACGUGCCAGCAGCCGCGGUAA
This 450-nucleotide ribosomal RNA is filed under the name uncultured bacterium. RNAcentral describes it as "bacterial SSU rRNA". It matches the Rfam family "Bacterial small subunit ribosomal RNA", at positions 45 to 523 of the family's 1533-position model. The record is from RNAcentral.